AUCUUUGUAACUAAUCUAUUUCAAGUCCAUUAACUAACUAUCUAUAAUCUCUAAAAAUAAUAACUUUUUUAUCCAUAAAUUGUUUUCUUCUUGCGAUUACUCUUUCUUCUCAGUUUUUCAUAAAUUAUUUUUUUUCUUAUGCAAUAUCCUUUGGUUUGGUAUCUUUUGUUUGUUUGUUUGUAAUGAAUGAGUCUAAUGACUAUUCUUAAUUUCUUAGGAUUCAUCAGAAGAAGAUUAAGCACACCUAUGCCAAAAAUCGGGGCAAGAUUGAAGGAAUAUAGGAAACUCAUGUUAUGUUUGAUUCGAAACAUUUCCACGAAGCCUAGAGUGGACAUGAAGAAGGAGUAUAUAAUUUAGCAUUUCUCGAAAUGGAAUAAUAUUUUUGGUAUUGUUAAGUAGCCAUUUUUUUUUCUAACUAUGUUUUUCCUUUCGGUAAAAAAAGAAUUUAUCUUCUUCUGAUUCAUUUUUCUUGAUUUUCA
RNAcentral lists this long non-coding RNA (479 nucleotides) under Arabidopsis lyrata. RNAcentral's name for it is "long non-coding RNA (ALYR_LNC001891)". The record is from RNAcentral. Lineage: Eukaryota; Viridiplantae; Streptophyta; Magnoliopsida; Brassicales; Brassicaceae.